RNAcentral lists this ribosomal RNA (198 nucleotides) under uncultured bacterium. RNAcentral's name for it is "partial 16S ribosomal RNA". It matches the Rfam family "Bacterial small subunit ribosomal RNA", at positions 1301 to 1500 of the family's 1533-position model. The record is from RNAcentral.
CGGGCUGCAACUCGCCUGCAUGAAGUCGGAAUUGCUAGUAAUCGCGGAUCAGCAUGCCGCGGUGAAUACGUUCCCGGGCCUUGUACACACCGCCCGUCACACCAUGGGAGCCGGUAACACCCGAAGCCGAUAGUCUAACGAAAGAGGACGUCGUCGAAGGUGGGAUUGAUGACUGGGGUGAAGUCGUAACAAGGUACC